RNAcentral lists this ribosomal RNA (429 nucleotides) under Chloroflexota bacterium. RNAcentral describes it as "Chloroflexi bacterium partial 16S ribosomal RNA". It matches the Rfam family "Bacterial small subunit ribosomal RNA", at positions 355 to 776 of the family's 1533-position model. Lineage: Bacteria; Bacillati; Chloroflexota. The record is from RNAcentral.
UGGGGAAUAUUGCACAAUGGGCGCAAGCCUGAUGCAGCCAUGCCGCGUGUAUGAAGAAGGCCUUCGGGUUGUAAAAUACUUUCAGUCGGGAGGAAGGUGGUAAGGUUAAUAACCUUAUCAAUUGACGGUACCGACAGAAGAAGCACCGGCUAACUCCGUGCCAGCAGCCGCGGUAAUACGGAGGGUGCAAGCGUUAAUCGGAAUUACUGGGCGUAAAGCGCACGCAGGCGGUUGAUUGAGUCAGAUGUGAAAUCCCCGGGCUUAACCCGGGAAUUGCAUCUGAUACUGGUCAGCUGGAGUCUUGUAGAGGGGGGUAGAAUUCCAUGGGUAGCGGUGAAAUGCGUAGAGAUGUGGAGGAAUACCGGUGGCGAAGGCGGCCCCCUGGACAAAGACUGACGCUAGGGUGCGAAGGCGUGGGGAGCAAACAGG